RNAcentral lists this ribosomal RNA (498 nucleotides) under uncultured bacterium. Its description in RNAcentral is "partial 16S ribosomal RNA". It matches the Rfam family "Bacterial small subunit ribosomal RNA", at positions 28 to 507 of the family's 1533-position model. The record is from RNAcentral.
GACGAACGCUGGCGGCGUGCCUAAUACAUGCAAGUCGAGCGAACCAAUAAGAAGCUUGCUUUUUGUUGGUUAGCGGCGGACGGGUGAGUAACACGUGGGUAACCUGCCUGUAAGACCGGGAUAACUCCGGGAAACCGGUGCUAAUACCGGAUAGAUUAUCUUUCCGCAUGGAGAGAUAAGGAAAGAUGGCUAUUGCCAUCACUUACAGAUGGGCCCGCGGCGCAUUAGCUAGUUGGUGAGGUAACGGCUCACCAAGGCGACGAUGCGUAGCCGACCUGAGAGGGUGAUCGGCCACACUGGGACUGAGACACGGCCCAGACUCCUACGGGAGGCAGCAGUAGGGAAUCUUCCGCAAUGGACGAAAGUCUGACGGAGCAACGCCGCGUGAGCGAAGAAGGUCUUCGGAUCGUAAAGCUCUGUUGUUAGGGAAGAACAAGUAACGGAGGAAAUGCCGGUACCUUGACGGUACCUGACGAGAAAGCCACGGCUAACUACGUG